GACGAACGCUGGCGGCGUGCCUAAUACAUGCAAGUAGAACGCUGAAGGAGGAGCUUGCUCUUCUGGAUGAGUUGCGAACGGGUGAGUAACGCGUAGGUAACCUGCCUGGUAGCGGGGGAUAACUAUUGGAAACGAUAGCUAAUACCGCAUAAGAGUAGAUGUUGCAUGACAUUUGCUUAAAAGGUGCAAUUGCAUCACUACCAGAUGGACCUGCGUUGUAUUAGCUAGUUGGUGGGGUAACGGCUCACCAAGGCGACGAUACAUAGCCGACCUGAGAGGGGGAUCGGCCACACUGAGACUGAGACACGGCACAGACUCCUACGGGAGGCAGCAGUAGGGAAUCUUCGGCAAUGGACGGAAGUCUGACCGAGCAACGCCGCGUGAGUGAAGAAGGUUUUCGGAUCGUAAAGCUCUGUUGUAAGAGAAGAACGAGUGUGAGAGUGGAAAGUUCACACUGUGACGGUAUCUUACCAGAAAGGGACGGCUAACUACGUG
This 495-nucleotide ribosomal RNA is filed under the name uncultured bacterium. RNAcentral describes it as "partial 16S ribosomal RNA". It matches the Rfam family "Bacterial small subunit ribosomal RNA", at positions 28 to 507 of the family's 1533-position model. The record is from RNAcentral.